GAGAGGAUUUUAGAGAGAUAAGUGAGAGAGAGUUUAGAGAGAAGGUUCAUCAUUUUCUUCUUCUUCAAAAAAAAAAAAAGAAAAACCCUAACAAGAAUCUUCCUCAAACACCAUCAAGAGGUCAUCUUUACCUCUUCUACUCUUCACAAAGGAGCUAGCAUUCAAGGUGAGGAACACCUUGAAGGAAAUCAGACUAGAGAAGUUAAGGAGAAAGCCAAGGAUCGAGGAUGAGCAAGAGACCGUUAGAUGCAGGAGAUGAGACGUUGCCGAGAAAUGGUGUGACGACGAGCUAUCGAAUCAAAGAUUAGUCGUGUUAAAAUUGCAGGGAGCUUGAUGGGCAUAAGAGGCUUUCCUUUUAUAUUCCUUUUGGAGUCUAUGUUGUGAUUAUAUUCGUCGAUGUAAGGGUAUUUAUAUUGUUGGGUAUUAUGUACGCAUUUGUUAGAGCAUAUAUGAU
Lotus japonicus is the source of this 454-nucleotide long non-coding RNA. RefSeq lists it as uncharacterized. The transcript has 3 exons. The record is from RefSeq and is a predicted model, not a curated record. Lineage: Eukaryota; Viridiplantae; Streptophyta; Magnoliopsida; Fabales; Fabaceae.